Molecule: long non-coding RNA, 527 nt
Organism: Lagopus muta (rock ptarmigan)
Lineage: Eukaryota; Metazoa; Chordata; Aves; Galliformes; Phasianidae
Exons: 2
Source: RefSeq, a predicted model, not a curated record
UGUGAAGGAUGCAGUCAAGAAGAUUUGCAGUGAACAAGCACCUGAGCAUGGCACAAAACCAGAGAAAGAGACAGCUUUGAAGCAGCAGGGAUGCGUGGAGUUAGGAGAGGAGCAGAAAGCCUUGUACAGCAUUUACCUAAAGAAUGGUCUUGGCCAGUUGUCUGAGGACACAACAGACCCGAGCGUCCCACUGGAUAUGUACCAUCUUAAAGGCUCACUGUGAAAUUUGUUGAGCUGGGGAAGCUCAGUGAGAUCAUCUGGCACUCCUUCCUAACAGCCUCUGCCUGAUGCUUGCUGGUGACCAAGCCUGGAAAUGCCAUCUGUGAGAGGCUUCUGCCUCACCUUGGAUGGAAAGUGCUGAGCUUGUCCCUCCGUGAGAAGGUGUUCCCUAAGGACCUACUCUGAAAUUUGUAAUUCCAUGGAAGCUAAAUUGGGUCAAAUGUUUGUGCUUCUUCCCAAUGCUUUAACUCACUGCCAUUUUCUUGCUUUUAGAGAAGCAGUUAGAAAAAAACCUACCCUUUCUUUUU